RNAcentral lists this ribosomal RNA (700 nucleotides) under uncultured Conexibacter sp. RNAcentral describes it as "bacterial SSU rRNA". It matches the Rfam family "Bacterial small subunit ribosomal RNA", at positions 194 to 879 of the family's 1533-position model. Lineage: Bacteria; Bacillati; Actinomycetota; Thermoleophilia; Solirubrobacterales; Conexibacteraceae. The record is from RNAcentral.
CCUUGGGGGAAAGGAAGCUUCGGCCUCCGCAUCGGGAUGGGCCCGCGGCGCAUUAGCUUGUUGGUGGGGUAAUGGCUUACCAAGGGCGACGAUGCGUAGCUGGUCUGAGAGGACGAUCAGCCACACUGGGACUGAGACACGGCCCAGACUCCUACGGGAGGCAGCAGUGGGGAAUCUUGCACAAUGCGCGAAAGCGUGAUGCAGCAACGCCGCGUGCGGGAAGAAGGCCUUAGGGUUGUAAACCGCUUUCAGUUGGGACGAAGCUUCAGUGGUGAAUAGCCGUUUGGAGUGACGGUACCUUCAGAAGAAGCGCCGGCUAACUACGUGCCAGCAGCCGCGGUAAUACGUAGGGCGCGAGCGUUGUCCGGAAUCAUUGGGCGUAAAGCGCGUGUAGGCGGCUGAGUAAGUCUGCUGUGAAAGUCCAGGGCUCAACCCUGGAAUGUCGGCGGAUACUGCUCAGCUGGAGUACGGGAGGGGCGAGUGGAAUUCCUGGUGUAGCGGUGGAAUGCGCAGAUAUCAGGAGGAACACCUAUGGCGAAGGCAGCUCGCUGGAACGUUACUGACGCUGAGACGCGAAAGCGUGGGGAGCAAACAGGAUUAGAUACCCAGGUAGUCCACGCUGUAAACGAUGGAUACUAGGUGUGGGGGGUGUCAACUCCCUCCGUGCCGAAGCUAACGCAUUAAGUAUCCCGCCUGGGGA